CCCCCAGCUGCUCCUUCCUGCCAGGGGUUGGGGGGAGCCCUGUGACAGCGCUGCAUUUAUAGCAAGCCCCUUCAGUUCCCCCCCUCGGGAAGUUUGGGGCACUGCGGUGAGUGCUGCAGUGCCCGCAGCCCAUGUGCUGAAACCGCUGCUCAGCCCAGUGCCUUUCUGGUAACCGGGUUCAGGUUCACCCCGAAAGGUGCAUCCCCAACAGCAGGUGGAGGUGAAACGGGCUCCAAAACUCCCCCUGGAAGGGCUGGGUUGGGGGGGGGGAGAGCAACCUGUGUGCUGUCAGUGCGAUAAUGCGAGAGCCCUUACGCUGACGGUUCAUGUGGCACGAACCCAGGGUGAAAAAUGGAGAAUGAUUUGGUAUCAUCGCUGGCGACUGCUAGAGGGAGCGCUGAUGUUUCCCUAUCAAUGCCUCCGAGAGAGCCACUUGCGUGUUUGCCAGGGCCUGGGCUGCAGCGAGCCCGCAGAGCUGCAUCCUGAGCAUCCUCAGCAAGGCAGCGGUGCGGGCAGGCUCCGUCCCCGCCGCAGUGAAUCCGUGCUGCUCUGCAAACCUGCACGGCUGCACCAUCCCCGCUUCUGAAAGCCACAGGCAGCAGCACUGAGUGGCUUUGCCUGAGCCAUGUGCGCCUCCGAAAGUUCAUAAAGGGGUUUAGGAACUGGGUGGGUUUAGGAACGGGGUGGGCCCUGUAGAAUGUCAGUGGGUGCGGGAAGCAGAGCCGGUGAGGAAGGGCUCCUACCGAGGGAAAAGCCAGAGAACACCACAGUCCUUAAGGAAAGGGAGGGAAACAGUCCUGCCCGUGUUGUAAACCCUUCAGUUUUUGCCUAGGCUCAGGCUUUUGGCUGAACCCACUGAGAAUUUGGGGCAGUUCCUUGAAGCUGAAGGAUGCCCUUCUGCACCACUGCAGGUAAUGCAGAGACCUUAGCCAAAAUGCAGUAAAAAACAUAGAAAAGGGUUCCUCAGUGAGCUGCAAAGAGAGUAACACUGGGAGAGGCUUGAGAUGGGAUAAAGCAGCAGCAUGUCACUGUCCUACAGGGACAGUCCCCAUGGAGUGCUGGGAUGUGGCUCUGCAGAAACAGAGGGGUUUGGCUUGAGUGUCCCCAGGCAGCUUUUAGGAACAGAUAUCAGGUAAAUCUAUCAUGUCAGCUGAAAAACCACACUCACAUCAUCCCGGGUCCCCCGAAACCCCGGACCUGAUCUGGAUCAUGCUUACAGCCAGCUCUCCAAGAGUGAAAAGGACCAAGUCCUUGUCAAGCAGCAUCUAGACCUUGUAAUCUGUAACAGGAUUUUGCAAACCGAAGAUAAUCCAGUAUUUAGAUACAUGGAUUUGAUUUCUCCAAGCUUCCACCUGGAAGGAGUGUAGAGCAUCAGCAUCCUGAGGUAUCAGCUGCCAGAACUCAAGUUUUUCUCAGGCAGCAAGUCCAUGUCCCUGCAGGAUGGGAGUCUCUGCCCAUGCAGAUGAGGCACAGCGAGGUCAGGAGUAUUUCCUAAGGACACACAGGAAACCCAAGUCAAUAAAUCUCAAAUCUCCAUUCA
Molecule: long non-coding RNA, 1540 nt
Organism: Pezoporus occidentalis (night parrot)
Lineage: Eukaryota; Metazoa; Chordata; Aves; Psittaciformes; Psittacidae
Exons: 3
Source: RefSeq, a predicted model, not a curated record